This 598-nucleotide ribosomal RNA is filed under the name uncultured bacterium. RNAcentral describes it as "bacterial SSU rRNA". It matches the Rfam family "Bacterial small subunit ribosomal RNA", at positions 338 to 1242 of the family's 1533-position model. The record is from RNAcentral.
CCUACGGGAGGCAGCAGUGGGGAAUCUUGCGCAAUGGGCGAAAGCCUGACGCAGCAACGCCGCGUGCGGGAAGAAGGCUUUCGGGCUGUAAACCGCUUUCAGCAGGAACGAAAAUGACGGUACCUGCAGAAGAAGGAGCGGCCAACUAUGUGCCAGCAGCCGCGGUGAUACAUAGGCUUCAAGCGUUGUCCGGAUUUAUUGGGCGUAAAGAGUUCGUAGGCGGUCGAGUAAGUCGGGUGUGAAAAUUCUGGGCUCAACCCAGAGACGCCACCCGAUACUGCUUAACUUGAGUUCGAUAGGGGAGUGGGGAAUUCCUAGUGUAGCGGUGAAAUGCGCAGAUAUUAGGAGGAACACCGGUGGCGAAGGCGCCACUCUGGAUCGAUACUGACGCUGAGGAACGAAUGCAUGGGUAGCAAACAGGAUUAGAUACCCUGGUAGUCCAUGCCGUAAACGGUGGGCACUAGGUGUGGGAUUCUAUUAACGAAUUCCGCGCCGUCGCUAACGCAUUAAGUGCCCCGCCUGGGGAUACGGUCGCAAGACUAAAACUUACGAAAGUAGUAGGACGUGNGAGACGCGACGACGACGACGAGGAGGAGAG